This 276-nucleotide ribosomal RNA is filed under the name uncultured bacterium. RNAcentral describes it as "partial 16S ribosomal RNA". It matches the Rfam family "Bacterial small subunit ribosomal RNA", at positions 82 to 354 of the family's 1533-position model. The record is from RNAcentral.
CCGUUGCCGGCGACCGGCGCACGGGUGAGUAACACGUAUGCAACCUGCCCGUGGCAGGGGGAUAAGCGGGGGAAGCCCCGUCUAAUACCGCGUAACGCGGCCUAGGGACAUCCCAAGGCCGCCAAAGGGAGCAAUCCCGGCCACGGAUGGGCAUGCGGCGCAUUAGCUAGUCGGCGGGGUAACGGCCCACCGAGGCGACGAUGCGUAGGGGUUCUGAGAGGAAGGCCCCCCACACUGGUACUGAGACACGGACCAGACUCCUACGGAAGGCAGCAG